This 1989-nucleotide ribosomal RNA is filed under the name human oral metagenome. RNAcentral's name for it is "bacterial LSU rRNA". It matches the Rfam family "Bacterial large subunit ribosomal RNA", at positions 3 to 1979 of the family's 2925-position model. The record is from RNAcentral.
UCAAGCAAAUAGAGGUUUGCGGCGGAUGCCUGGGAGCUGUCCGGCGAAGAAGGCCGCGGUAAGCUGCGAAAAGCUGCGGGGAGGAGCACACAUCCUGAGAUCCGCAGAUAGCCGAAUGGGGUAACCCGUAUGUCGCAAGGCAUACACCGCGCGCGGGAAGAAGAUACUGCGGCGGAGCGAUACUGCGUGAAGUGAACCAUCUAAGUAACGCGGGAAGAGAAAUCAAAAGAGAUUGCGCAAGUAGCGGCGAGCGAACGCGCAGGAGCCUAAACCCUUAUGUAGGGUGUUGCAGGGCCGCACGGGGAUGACCCGUGGAGUUGGUGAGAAAACCGAUAUGUAGCGGAAGCGUCUGGAAAGGCGCGCGAGACAGCGUGAAAGCCGCGUAAGCGAAAAGGAUCGGACUCCAUGGUGCGGUACCUAAGUAGGGCGGGGCACGAGAAACCCUGUUUGAAUCCGGGUCGACCACGAUCCAAGGCUAAAUACGAGACAGCUACCGACAGCGAAGAGUACCGUGAGGGAAAGGCGAAAAGAACCCCGGUGAGGGGAGUGAAAGAGAACCUGAAACCGCAAACCGACAAGAUGUCACGGCGCGUGAGCGUUGUGGCGUGUCUUUUGUAGAAUAAACCUGCGAGUUGCGUUGCGCGGCGAGGCUAAGGGUUGGAAGAUCCGGAGCCGGAGCGAAAGCGAGUGUGAAAAGUGCGAAAAGUCGCGUGUCGCAGACCCGAAGCCAAGGUGAUCUAAUUAUGGGCAGGCUGAAGGCAGGGUGAAACCUGUUGGAGGGCCGAACAGUAAUCUGUUAAAAAAGGUAGUGAUGACCUGUGAUUAGGAGUGAAAGGCUAAACAAACCUGGAAAUAGCUGGCUCUCCCCGAAAUGCCUUUAGGGACAGCCUCAUGCAAAGCGGAAGGAGGUAAAGCACCGGAUGGGAUAGGGGGCGUCACAGUCUACCGACACCAAUCGAACUCAGAAUGCCAUCCGCCAACGCAUGGGAGUGAGACUGUGUGCUCCAAGGUUCAUAGUCGAGAGGGAAACAGCCCGGACCGUCGGCAAAGGUCCCAAAAUAACGCUCAGUGUGAAAUGAGGUGCGUCUGCACAGACAGCCAGGAGGUUGGCUUAGAAGCAGCCAUUCCUUAAAAGAGUGCGUAACAGCUCACUGGUCGAGCAGGCGUGCGCAGACAAUGUAACGGGGCUAAGCGUUAUACCGAAGCCGCGGGUCCGCAUCGUAAGAGAUGCGGGCGGUAGGGGAGCAUUGCGCUAACCGGCGAAGGCGUACCUGUGAGGGGCGCUGGAGGAAGCGGAAGAGAGAAUGCAGGCACAAGUAACGAAAAGACGGGUGAGAUUCCCGUCCGCCGAAAGCCUGAGGAUUCCCGGGUAAAGGCAAUCUGCCCGGGGUAAGUCGGCCCCUAAGGCGAGGACGAAAGUCGUAGUCGAUGGGAAAUCGGUUCAAAAUCCGAUACCCGGCUCAGUUUUGAAGGCAGGACGCAUGAGGUGAAAUCCGGCAGGAGAACGGUAGUUCCUGUCCAAGCAGUGAGGUGUUGAGAGGGCGGUUAAAAGAGCCCUUGAGCUGAGCCGUUACGGGGAGCGGAGCGCAGGCGAAGCGAAGCGGAUGUAAUCAAGGUGCCGGGAAAUACUGUCUAAAGCUAGGCUGAGUCGGACCGUACCGGAAACGGACACACGCAGGCAGGAUGAGUAAUCUAAGGCGCACGAGCGACCCCGCGUUAAGGAACUCGGCAAAAAGCACACGUAACUUCGGAAGAAGUGUGGCUCACGCUGAUAAGGAUGUGAGCGGCAGAAAGCAGGCCCAGGCGACUGUUUAUCAAAAACACAGCCAUCUGCGAACCAGUAAUGGGACGUAUAGGUGGUGACACCUGCCCGGUACCGGAAGGUUAAGGGGAGGGGUUAGCAGCAAUGCGAAGCUCCGAACCGAAGCCCCGGCAAACGGCGGCCGUAACUAUAACGGUCCUAAGGUAGCGAAAUUCCUUGUCGGGUAA